GAUGAAGAACGUAUCGAAAUGCGAUACUUGGUGUGAAUUGCAGAAUCCCGUGAACCAUCGAGUCUUUGAACGCAAGUUGCGCCCGAAGCCAUUAGGCCGAGGGCACGCCUGCCUGGGCGUCACACGUCGUUGCCCCCCCAUCUACUCCUUCGGGAUUGCGGGGGCGGAUGAUGGCCUCCCGUGCGCCUCGCCGCGCGGUUGGCAUAAAUGCCAAGUCCUCGGCGACGCACGCCACGACAAUCGGUGGUUGCGAAACCUCGGUUGCCCGUCGUGUGCGGUCGUCGCGCAUCGAGGGCUCGAAAAAAUUGCCGGGUUCCGGCUCGGCUUUCAACGCGACCCCAGGUCAGGCGGGGUUACCCGCUGAAUUUAAGCAUAUCAAUAAGCGGAGGA
Molecule: unclassified non-coding RNA, 390 nt
Filed under: soil metagenome
Description: partial contains 5.8S ribosomal RNA, internal transcribed spacer 2, and large subunit ribosomal RNA
Rfam family: 5.8S ribosomal RNA (bases 1-122)
Source: RNAcentral